This 451-nucleotide ribosomal RNA is filed under the name uncultured bacterium. RNAcentral's name for it is "bacterial SSU rRNA". It matches the Rfam family "Bacterial small subunit ribosomal RNA", at positions 28 to 463 of the family's 1533-position model. The record is from RNAcentral.
GACGAACGCUGGCGGCGUGCCUAAUACAUGCAAGUAGAACGCUGAAGAGAGGAGCUUGCUCUUCUUGGAUGAGUUGCGAACGGGUGAGUAACGCGUAGGUAACCUGCCUUGUAGCGGGGGAUAACUAUUGGAAACGAUAGCUAAUACCGCAUAACAAUGGAUGACACAUGUCAUUUAUUUGAAAGGGGCAAUUGCUCCACUACAAGAUGGACCUGCGUUGUAUUAGCUAGUAGGUGAGGUAAUGGCUCACCUAGGCGACGAUACAUAGCCGACCUGAGAGGGUGAUCGGCCACACUGGGACUGAGACACGGCCCAGACUCCUACGGGAGGCAGCAGUAGGGAAUCUUCGGCAAUGGGGGCAACCCUGACCGAGCAACGCCGCGUGAGUGAAGAAGGUUUUCGGAUCGUAAAGCUCUGUUGUAAGUCAAGAACGGGUGUGAGAGUGGAAAGU